Non-coding RNA from Theobroma cacao (cacao), 515 nucleotides. Lineage: Eukaryota; Viridiplantae; Streptophyta; Magnoliopsida; Malvales; Malvaceae. The record is from RefSeq and is a predicted model, not a curated record.
AAUAUCUUUGCCUUUAGAAAAUCUGCACCUUUAGAAAGAAAAAGAGAGAGAAUUGGCUUGGAAACAAAGAGAGAAAGGAAGAAAGGAGAAAGGAAGAAUGAAAGAAAGGAGAAAAAAGAAAAAGACAAGGAAGGUUGGCCCAGUGGUUUCAAGCUAAGGAAGGUCCUCCAAGAAUUGAAAGAAAUAGAUGCAUGCUUAUGGGCCAAUCUUGGAAUCCAUGGUGAUUUGAGCUAGAUAAGCUAUGGCAAUGGUGACCAUGGGUAUGAGGAAAUUAUGAGCUAUAAGUGUGGAAUUCAAGCUAAAACUGAAAGAUAGUAAUCGGCCUGGCGUGCAAUCAUCGGCACUUAUGGUUCACCGCGGAUAGGUAAAGCCAUCUCAUAGCAUUUCAUUCUGAGUCACUCCGCUGCUACAGGUCGAGUCAUUCGUAGCAUAAUUUGAUUAUAAAUAGUAUUAAUGUAAAUGUAUGAUUGGAUAUUAAAGACCUUGAUGUACUUCUACAAUCAUGUUGAAUAAAA